AAACCCCGCCUGUUUACCAAAAACAUCACCUCUAGCAUUUCAAGUAUUAGAGGCACUGCCUGCCCAGUGAAUUAAUUUUAACGGCCGCGGUAUCCUGACCGUGCAAAGGUAGCAUAAUCACUUGUCUCCUAAAUAGAGACUUGUAUGAAUGGCAAAACGAGGGUUU
Non-coding RNA from Monodelphis domestica (gray short-tailed opossum), 166 nucleotides. The record is from Rfam. Lineage: Eukaryota; Metazoa; Chordata; Mammalia; Didelphimorphia; Didelphidae.